AGAGUUUGAUCAUGGCUCAGAUUGAACGCUGGCGGCAGCCUAACACAUGCAAGUCGAACGGUAACAGGAAACAGCUUGCUGUUUCGCUGACGAGUGGCGGACGGGUGCGUAAUGUCUGGGAAGCUGCCUGAUGGAGGGGGAUAACUACUGGAAACGGUAGCUAAUACCGCAUAACGUCGCAAGACCAAAGAGGGGGACCUUCGGGCCUCUUGCCAUCGGAUGUGCCCAGAUGGGAUUAGCUAGUAGGUGGGGUAACGGCUCACCUAGGCGACGAUCCCUAGCUGGUCUGAGAGGAUGACCAGCCACACUGGAACUGAGACACGGUCCAGACUCCUACGGGAGGCAGCAGUGGGGAAUAUUGCACAAUGGCGCAAGCCUGAUGCAGCCAUGCCGCGUGUAUGAAGAAGGCCUUCGGGUUGUAAAGUACUUUCAGCGGGGAGAAGGGAGUAAAGUUAAUACCUUUGCUCAUUGACGUUACCCGCAGAAGAAGCACCGGCUAACUCCGUGCCAGCAGCCGCGUAAUACGGAGGGUGCAAGCGUUAAUCGGAAUUACUGGGCGUAAAGCGCACGCAGGCGGUUUGUUAAGUCAGAUGUGAAAUCCCCGGGCUCAACCUGGGAACUGCAUCUGAUACUGGCAAGCUUGAGUCUCGUAGAGGGGGGUAGAAUUCCAGGUGUAGCGGUGAAAUGCGUAGAGAUCUGGAGGAAUACCGGUGGCGAAGGCGGCCCCCUGGACGAAGACUGACGCUCAGGUGCGAAAGCGUGGGGGAGCAAACAGGAUUAGAUACCCUGGUAGUCCACGCCGUAAACGAUGUCGACUUGGAGGUUGUGCCCUUGAGGCGUGGCUUCCGGAGCUAACGCGUUAAGUCGACCGCCUGGGGAGUACGGCCGCAAGGUUAAAACUCAAAUGAAUUGACGGGGGCCCGCACAAGCGGUGGAGCAUGUGGUUUAAUUCGAUGCAACGCGAAGAACCUUUACCUGGUCUUGACAUCCACAGAACUUUCCAGAGAUGGAUUGGUGCCUUCGGGAACUGUGAGACAGGUGCUGCAUGGCUGUCGUCAGCUCGUGUUGUGAAAUGUUGGGUUAAGUCCCGCAACGAGCGCAACCCUUAUCCUUUGUUGCCAGCGGUCCGGCCGGGAACUCAAAGGAGACUGCCAGUGAUAAACUGGAGGAAGGUGGGGAUGACGUCAAGUCAUCAUGGCCCUUACGACCAGGGCUACACACGUGCUACAAUGGCGCAUACAAAGAGAAGCGACCUCGCGAGAGCAAGCGGACCUCAUAAAGUGCGUCGUAGUCCGGAUUGGAGUCUGCAACUCGACUCCAUGAAGUCGGAAUCGCUAGUAAUCGUGGAUCAGAAUGCCACGGUGAAUACGUUCCCGGGCCUUGUACACACCGCCCGUCACACCAUGGGAGUGGGUUGCAAAAGAAGUAGGUAGCUUAACCUUCGGGAGGGCGCUUACCACUUUGUGAUUCAUGACUGGGGUGAAGUCGUAACAAGGUAACCGUAGGGGAACCUGCGGUUGGAUCACCU
Molecule: ribosomal RNA, 1528 nt
Filed under: Escherichia coli
Lineage: Bacteria; Pseudomonadati; Pseudomonadota; Gammaproteobacteria; Enterobacterales; Enterobacteriaceae
Description: bacterial SSU rRNA
Rfam family: Bacterial small subunit ribosomal RNA
Source: RNAcentral